Molecule: ribosomal RNA, 733 nt
Filed under: uncultured eukaryote
Lineage: Eukaryota
Description: SSU rRNA
Rfam family: Eukaryotic small subunit ribosomal RNA
Source: RNAcentral
UAGUCUGGUGCCAGCAGCCGCGGUAAUUCCAGCUCCAAUAGCGUAUAUUAAAGUUGUUGCAGUUAAAACGCUCGUAGUCGGAUUUCGGGACAGGUUUGCCGNUCUGCCGAUGGGUAUGCACUGGUAGAACUGUCCUUCCUUCCGGAGACGGCGCCUACUCUUAACUGAGCGGGUGUCGGAGACGGAUCGUUUACUUUGAAAAAAUCAGAGUGUUUCAAGCAGGCAGCUCGCUUUUGCAUGGAUUAGCAUGGGAUAAUGAAAUAGGACUUUGGUGCUAUUUUGUUGGUUUCGAACACCGAAGUAAUGAUUAACAGGGACAGUCAGGGGCACUCGUAUUCCGCCGAGAGAGGUGAAAUUCUUAGACCAGCGGAAGACGAACCACUGCGAAAGCAUUUGCCAGGGAUGUUUUCACUGAUCAAGAACGAAAGUUAGGGGAUCGAAGACGAUCAGAUACCGUCGUAGUCUUAACCAUAAACCAUGCCGACUAGGGAUUGGAGGAUGUUCCUAUGUGACUCCUUCAGCACCUUUCGGGAAACUAAAGUCUUUGGGUUCCGGGGGGAGUAUGGUCGCAAGGCUGAAACUUAAAGGAAUUGACGGAAGGGCACCACCAGGAGUGGAGCCUGCGGCUUAAUUUGACUCAACACGGGGAAACUUACCAGGUCCAGACAUUGUGAGGAUUGACAGAUUGAGAGCUCUUUCUUGAUUCGAUGGGUGGUGGUGCAUGGCCGUUCUU